RNAcentral lists this long non-coding RNA (581 nucleotides) under Marmota monax (woodchuck). Lineage: Eukaryota; Metazoa; Chordata; Mammalia; Rodentia; Sciuridae. The record is from RNAcentral.
AGCCUAUAUUCAUCCCCAUACUCUAAGAACUGGACUUACAACAUACACCUUGUCAACUUGAAAAUAAUAUAUAAUCUGUUCUGAUUUUCUCAUAGGAAAGAAGGAUUCAUAAAACAGUAGAAUCAAGAUGAAUGAUGUCUUUCAAGCACUUGAAAAGAGCAAGACAUCAGCAGGUGAACACCAAGAACAUAUCCUGUCCUUGGAGUCCUGUUCUAGGUGGAUACCUGGAAUGACUCAUCCAUAGAUCAGGAGAAUAGAAGAUCUACUUGAACUUCUUGAUUUAUAUAAAAUACUAUGAUAAUUUUGGAGUUCUAUUUGAGCAAAAGUGUGGAAUAAGAAUAAAGCAAGAUGGAUAAGGGGGCUGGAAGUGUGUGCCACCAAACGCUUACUAUAAAUAGAUCAAUCACACCAGGAAGCAAGCCUCUCCAGGCCUCUCAUUUAGGAAAUAGCAUUAUUAAAUUUGUAUGGCCUGGUGUAGUGGCACAUACCUAUAAUACCAGGACUUGGGAGGCUGAGUCAGGAGGAUUGCAAGUUCAAAGCCAGCCUCUGCAAAAGUGAAACGCUAAGCAAUUCAGUGAGAC